GGGUGAGUAACGCGUAGGGCAACCUGCCCAUGUGCUUGGCGAUAACAGAGCGAAAGCUCUGCCAAUACCGGAUACGAUCAUGGAUCGAGAGGUCGAUGAUGAAAGUCUGCCACUCGAAGAAGCAGACGCACAUGGAGGGGCCUGCGUCCUAUCAGCUAGUUGGUAGGGUAACGGCCUACCAAGGCGACGACGGGUAGCUGGUCUGAGAGGAUGAUCAGCCACACUGGCACUGGAACACGGGCCAGACUCCUACGGGAGGCAGCAGUGAGGAAUUUUGCGCAAUGGCCGCAAGGCUGACGCAGCAACGCCGCGUGGGUGAUGAAGGCCUUCGGGUCGUAAAGCCCUGUCAGGUGGGAAGAAAGUCACGAGGUCGAACAGGCUUUGUGUUUGACGGUACCACCAGAGGAAGCACCGGCUAACUCCGUGCCAGCAGCCGCGGUAAUACGGAGGGUGCGAGCGUUAUUCGGAAUUACUGGGCGUAAAGCGCGUGCNGGCUGGAAAGUAAGUCUGAUGUGAAAGCCCUGGGCUUAACCCGGGAAGUGCAUUGGAUACUGCUUUUCUUGAGUACUGGAGAGGAAGGGGGAAUUCCCGGUGUAGAGGUGAAAUUCGUAGAGAUCGGGGAGGAAUACCAGUGGCGAAGGCGCCCUUCUGGACGGUUACUGACGCUNNAGACGCGAAAGCGUGGGGAGCAAACAGGAUUAGAUACCCU
Molecule: ribosomal RNA, 709 nt
Filed under: uncultured delta proteobacterium
Lineage: Bacteria; Deltaproteobacteria
Description: bacterial SSU rRNA
Rfam family: Bacterial small subunit ribosomal RNA
Source: RNAcentral